GUCGAACGAUGAACCACUUCGGUGGGGAUUAGUGGCGAACGGGUGAGUAACACGUGGGCAAUCUGCCCUGCACUCUGGGACAAGCCCUGGAAACGGGGUCUAAUACCGGAUACUGAUCCGUCUGGGCAUCCAGACGGUUCGAAAGCUCCGGCGGUGCAGGAUGAGCCCGCGGCCUAUCAGCUUGUUGGUGAGGUAGUGGCUCACCAAGGCGACGACGGGUAGCCGGCCUGAGAGGGCGACCGGCCACACUGGGACUGAGACACGGCCCAGACUCCUACGGGAGGCAGCAGUGGGGAAUAUUGCACAAUGGGCGAAAGCCUGAUGCAGCGACGCCGCGUGAGGGAUGACGGCCUUCGGGUUGUAAACCUCUUUCAGCAGGGAAGAAGCGAAAGUGACGGUACCUGCAGAAGAAGCGCCGGCUAACUACGUGCCAGCAGCCGCGGUAAUACGUAGGGCGCGAGCGUUGUCCGGAAUUAUUGGGCGUAAAGAGCUCGUAGGCGGCUUGUCACGUCGGUUGUGAAAGCCCGGGGCUUAACCCCGGGUCUGCAGUCGAUACGGGCAGGCUAGAGUUCGGUAGGGGAGAUCGGAAUUCCUGGUGUAGCGGUGAAAUGCGCAGAUAUCAGGAGGAACACCGGUGGCGAAGGCGGAUCUCUGGGCCGAUACUGACGCUGAGGAGCGAAAGCGUGGGGAGCGAACAGGAUUAGAUACCCUGGUAGUCCACGCCGUAAACGGUGGGCACUAGGUGUGGGCAACAUUCCACGUUGUCCGUGCCGCAGCUAACGCAUUAAGUGCCCCGCCUGGGGAGUACGGCCGCAAGGCUAAAAC
Molecule: ribosomal RNA, 825 nt
Filed under: actinobacterium CT8
Lineage: Bacteria; Bacillati; Actinomycetota; Actinomycetes
Description: bacterial SSU rRNA
Rfam family: Bacterial small subunit ribosomal RNA
Source: RNAcentral